Molecule: ribosomal RNA, 484 nt
Filed under: uncultured bacterium
Lineage: Bacteria
Description: partial 16S ribosomal RNA
Rfam family: Bacterial small subunit ribosomal RNA
Source: RNAcentral
AUUGAACGCUGGCGGCAUGCUUUACACAUGCAAGUCGAACGGCAGCGCGGGCUUCGGCCUGGCGGCGAGUGGCGAACGGGUGAGUAAUACAUCGGAACGUGCCCAGUAGUGGGGGAUAGCUCGGCGAAAGCCGGAUUAAUACCGCAUACGACCUGAGGGUGAAAGCGGGGGAUCUUCGGACCUCGCGCUAUUGGAGCGGCCGAUGGCAGAUUAGCUAGUUGGUGGGGUAAAGGCCUACCAAGGCGACGAUCUGUAGCUGGUCUGAGAGGACGACCAGCCACACUGGGACUGAGACACGGCCCAGACUCCUACGGGAGGCAGCAGUGGGGAAUUUUGGACAAUGGGCGAAAGCCUGAUCCAGCAAUGCCGCGUGUGUGAUGAAGGCCUUCGGGUUGUAAAACACUUUUGGCGGGAACGAAAAGGACUGUGCCAAUACCACGGUUCGAUGACGGUACCCGCAGAAUAAGCACCGGCUAACUACGUG